CUGGCGGCGUGCCUAACACAUGCAAGUCGAACGGGGAUUUGUUUCGGCAGAAUCCUAGUGGCGAACGGGUGAGUAAUGCGUAGGCAACCUGCCCUCCGGCCGGGGACAACACUCCGAAAGGGGUGCUAAUACCGGAUACGAAGUCUGUGCCGCAUGGUACGGAUUUGAAAGAUGGCCUCUGUUUACAAGCUAUCGCCGGGGGAUGGGCCUGCGUCCGAUUAGCUGGUUGGUGGGGUAACGGCCUACCAAGGCGACGAUCGGUAGCCGGUCUGAGAGGAUGAACGGCCACAUUGGGACUGAGACACGGCCCAGACUCCUACGGGAGGCAGCAGUGGGGAAUCUUCCGCAAUGGGCGCAAGCCUGACGGGGCAACGCCGCGUGAGUGAGGAAGUUCUUCGGAACGUAAAGCUCUGUUGUUCCUGACGAACCUCCCCUCUAUCAACAACGGAGGGGACUGACGGUAGGGAACGAGGAAGCCACGGCUAACUACGUGCCAGCAGCCGC
RNAcentral lists this ribosomal RNA (504 nucleotides) under uncultured bacterium. RNAcentral describes it as "bacterial SSU rRNA". It matches the Rfam family "Bacterial small subunit ribosomal RNA", at positions 36 to 518 of the family's 1533-position model. The record is from RNAcentral.